Bufo bufo (common toad) is the source of this 168-nucleotide long non-coding RNA. RefSeq lists it as uncharacterized. The record is from RefSeq and is a predicted model, not a curated record. NCBI's taxonomy places the organism in Eukaryota, Metazoa, Chordata, Amphibia, Anura, Bufonidae. The transcript has 3 exons.
AGAUUUAUCAUUACUCUGACAGCUCACUCCACUUUCACAUAUGGCUAAAGUCAGUUUUAGCCAAGUCAGAUUUAUAAUCGGCCCUUUAAGACUGUGAUAAAUGUGGUUUGACGAUAGCAGUUUAUCAGUCAGUAAGAGGCUUUACAAAAGAAAUAUGGUGUACCCCAA